RNAcentral lists this ribosomal RNA (340 nucleotides) under uncultured bacterium. RNAcentral's name for it is "bacterial SSU rRNA". It matches the Rfam family "Bacterial small subunit ribosomal RNA", at positions 330 to 687 of the family's 1533-position model. The record is from RNAcentral.
GCCAGACUCCUACGGGAGGCAGCAGUGGGGAAUAUUGCACAAUGGGGGAAACCCUGAUGCAGCGACGCCGCGUGAGUGAAGAAGUAAUUCGUUAUGUAAAGCUCUAUCAGCAGGGAAGAAAAUGGCGGUACCUGAGUAAGAAGCCCCGGCUAACUACGUGCCAGCAGCCGCGGUAAUACGUAGGGGGCAAGCGUUAUCCGGAUUUACUGGGUGUAAAGGGAGCGUAGGCGGGUUAGCAAGUCAGAAGUGAAAGCCCGGGGCUCAACUCCGGGACUGCUUUUGAAACUGGUGAACUAGAUUGCAGGAGAGGUAAGGGGAAUUCCUAGGGUAGCGGUGAAAU